Molecule: unclassified non-coding RNA, 283 nt
Filed under: Ascomycota sp.
Lineage: Eukaryota; Fungi; Ascomycota
Description: partial contains small subunit ribosomal RNA, internal transcribed spacer 1, and 5.8S ribosomal RNA
Rfam family: Eukaryotic small subunit ribosomal RNA (bases 1-47)
Source: RNAcentral
AAAGUCGUAACAAGGUUUCCGUAGGUGAACCUGCGGAAGGAUCAUUACCGAGUAAGGGUGUCUAAUACGCGCCCGACCUCCAACCCUUUGUCUACUUAACCAAAAUGUUGCUUCGGCAGGCCCGCCCCCUCCCAUGUACUGGAGAGGAGGCCGCCGGGGGUCCUUACACGACCUCGGGCCCGUGCCUGUCGACGGCCCCAACCAAAACUAUUGUUAAAACGUGUCAUCUGAGUUAUCUAAACAAAUGAAAUUAAAACUUUCAACAACGGAUCUCUUGGUUCUG